AUUCGGCAGUUGAAAUGGGGCGGGGCGGCGCUUAUUGGUUGGUGUGUGGUUGGUUUUUUCUCUCCCUUUCUUUCAAUAACAUCUUAUAUAUACAAAUGAAAAUAGGGUUUACUUAUUUUAAUAAAAUUCCAAUAUUGUCCUCAAUGAGUAAAAAUAGUGAAAAAAUGAGUUUUAAGAAAAUAAAUCAAAUAAAAAUAAAUUAA
Molecule: long non-coding RNA, 203 nt
Filed under: Lathyrus oleraceus (garden pea)
Lineage: Eukaryota; Viridiplantae; Streptophyta; Magnoliopsida; Fabales; Fabaceae
Description: Pisum sativum (pea) long non-coding RNA (PSAT_LNC019542)
Source: RNAcentral